UACGGGGGGGGCAAGCGUUGUUCGGAAUUACUGGGCGUAAAGGGCCAGUAGGCGGCCAACUAAGUCCGACGUGAAAUCCCAAGGCUUAACCUUGGAACUGCGUCGGAUACUGGAUGGCUUGAAUUCGGGAGAGGGAUGCAGAAUUCCAGGUGUAGCGGUGAAAUGCGUAGAUAUCUGGAGGAAUACCGGUGGCGAAGGCGGCUCUCUGGGACGGUACUGACGCUGAGACGCGAAAGCGUGGGGAGCGAACAGG
RNAcentral lists this ribosomal RNA (253 nucleotides) under uncultured bacterium. RNAcentral describes it as "partial 16S ribosomal RNA". It matches the Rfam family "Bacterial small subunit ribosomal RNA", at positions 524 to 776 of the family's 1533-position model. The record is from RNAcentral.